Molecule: ribosomal RNA, 253 nt
Filed under: uncultured bacterium
Lineage: Bacteria
Description: partial 16S ribosomal RNA
Rfam family: Bacterial small subunit ribosomal RNA
Source: RNAcentral
UACGGAGGGGGCUAGCGUUGUGCGGAAUGACUGGGCGUAAAGCGCACGUAGGCGGCUUUGUAAGUUAGAGGUGAAAGCCCAGGGCUUAACCCUGGAAUUGCCUUUAAGACUGCAUCGCUAGAAUCGUGGAGAGGUGAGUGGAAUUCCGAGUGUAGAGGUGAAAUUCGUAGAUAUUCGGAAGAACACCAGUGGCGAAGGCGACUCACUGGACACGUAUUGACGCUGAGGUGCGAAAGCGUGGGGAGCAAACAGG